AGGUUAACCGAAUAGGGGAGCCGUAGGGAAACCGAGUCUUAAUAGGGCGAAUUAGUUGCAAGGUGUAGACCCGAAACCCGGUGAUCUAGCCAUGGGCAGGUUGAAGGUUGGGUAACACUAACUGGAGGACCGAACCGACUAAUGUUGAAAAAUUAGCGGAUGACUUGUGGCUGGGGGUGAAAGGCCAAUCAAACCGGGAGAUAGCUGGUUCUCCCCGAAAGCUAUUUAGGUAGCGCCUCGGACGAACACCUACGGGGGUAGAGCACUGUUAAGGCUAGGGGGUCAUCCCGACUUACCAACCCUUUGCAAACUCCGAAUACCGUAGAGUGCUAUCCGGGAGACACACGGCGGGUGCUAACGUCCGUCGUGAAGAGGGAAACAACCCAGACCGCCAGCUAAGGUCCCAAAGUCAUGGUUAAGUGGGAAACGAUGUGGGAAGGCUUAGACAGCUAGGAUGUUGGCUUAGAAGCAGCCAUCAUUUAAAGAAAGCGUAAUAGCUCACUAGUCGAGUCGGCCUGCGCGGAAGAUGUAACGGGGCUAAACCAUGCACCGAAGCUGCGGCAAUGACAUUUAGGUGUUAUUGGGUAGGGGAGCGUUCUGUAAGCGGUUGAAGGUGUACUGUGAGGUAUGCUGGACGUAUCAGAAGUGCGAAUGCUGACAUAAGUAACGAUAAAGCGGGUGAAAAGCCCGCUCGCCGGAAGACCAAGGGUUCCUGUUCAACGUUAAUCGGAGCAGGGUGAGUCGACCCCUAAGGCGAGGCUGAAAAGCGUAGUCGAUGGGAAACGGGUUAAUAUUCCCGUACUUGUGGUAACUGCGAAGGGGGGACGGAGAAAGUUAGGCUAUCCGGGCGACGGUUGUCCCGGUUUAAGCGUGAAGGUGGAGAGACUAGGCAAAUCCGGUCUUUCAUUAACACUGAGGCGUGAUGACGAAGCACUACGGUGCUGAAGUAGCUGAUACUACGCUUCCAGGAAAAGCCUCUAAGCAUCAGGUUACCAGAAAUCGUACCCCAAACCGACACAGGUGGUCAGGUAGAGAAUACUCAGGCGCUUGAGAGAACUCGGGUGAAGGAACUAGGCAAAAUGGUGCCGUAACUUCGGGAGAAGGCACGCUGA
This 1112-nucleotide ribosomal RNA is filed under the name Plesiomonas shigelloides. RNAcentral describes it as "partial 23S ribosomal RNA". It matches the Rfam family "Bacterial large subunit ribosomal RNA", at positions 643 to 1754 of the family's 2925-position model. The record is from RNAcentral. Lineage: Bacteria; Pseudomonadati; Pseudomonadota; Gammaproteobacteria; Enterobacterales; Enterobacteriaceae.